This 1342-nucleotide ribosomal RNA is filed under the name uncultured bacterium. RNAcentral's name for it is "bacterial SSU rRNA". It matches the Rfam family "Bacterial small subunit ribosomal RNA", at positions 28 to 1381 of the family's 1533-position model. The record is from RNAcentral.
GACGAACGCUGGCGGCGUGCUUAACACAUGCAAGUCGAACGAUGAUGCCCAGCUUGCUGGGUGGAUUAGUGGCGAACGGGUGAGUAACACGUGAGUAACCUGCCCCUGACUCUGGGAUAAGCGUUGGAAACGAUGUCUAAUACUGGAUAUGAUCACUGGCCGCAUGGUCUGGUGGUGGAAAGAUUUUUUGGUUGGGGAUGGACUCGCGGCCUAUCAGCUUGUUGGUGAGGUAAUGGCUCACCAAGGCGACGACGGGUAGCCGGCCUGAGAGGGUGACCGGCCACACUGGGACUGAGACACGGCCCAGACUCCUACGGGAGGCAGCAGUGGGGAAUAUUGCACAAUGGGCGAAAGCCUGAUGCAGCAACGCCGCGUGAGGGAUGACGGCCUUCGGGUUGUAAACCUCUUUUAGUAGGGAAGAAGCGAAAGUGACGGUACCUGCAGAAAAAGCACCGGCUAACUACGUGCCAGCAGCCGCGGUAAUACGUAGGGUGCAAGCGUUGUCCGGAAUUAUUGGGCGUAAAGAGCUCGUAGGCGGUUUGUCGCGUCUGCUGUGAAAUCCCGAGGCUCAACCUCGGGCUUGCAGUGGGUACGGGCAGACUAGAGUGCGGUAGGGGAGAUUGGAAUUCCUGGUGUAGCGGUGGAAUGCGCAGAUAUCAGGAGGAACACCGAUGGCGAAGGCAGAUCUCUGGGCCGUAACUGACGCUGAGGAGCGAAAGCAUGGGGAGCGAACAGGAUUAGAUACCCUGGUAGUCCAUGCCGUAAACGUUGGGCGCUAGAUGUAGGGACCUUUCCACGGUUUCUGUGUCGUAGCUAACGCAUUAAGCGCCCCGCCUGGGGAGUACGGCCGCAAGGCUAAAACUCAAAGGAAUUGACGGGGGCCCGCACAAGCGGCGGAGCAUGCGGAUUAAUUCGAUGCAACGCGAAGAACCUUACCAAGGCUUGACAUACACCGGAAACGGCCAGAGAUGGUCGCCCCCUUGUGGUCGGUGUACAGGUGGUGCAUGGUUGUCGUCAGCUCGUGUCGUGAGAUGUUGGGUUAAGUCCCGCAACGAGCGCAACCCUCGUUCUAUGUUGCCAGCGGGUUAUGCCGGGGACUCAUAGGAGACUGCCGGGGUCAACUCGGAGGAAGGUGGGGAUGACGUCAAAUCAUCAUGCCCCUUAUGUCUUGGGCUUCACGCAUGCUACAAUGGCCGGUACAAAGGGCUGCGAUACCGUAAGGUGGAGCGAAUCCCAAAAAGCCGGUCUCAGUUCGGAUUGAGGUCUGCAACUCGACCUCAUGAAGUCGGAGUCGCUAGUAAUCGCAGAUCAGCAACGCUGCGGUGAAUACGUUCCCGGGCCU